RNAcentral lists this ribosomal RNA (289 nucleotides) under uncultured bacterium. Its description in RNAcentral is "partial 16S ribosomal RNA". It matches the Rfam family "Bacterial small subunit ribosomal RNA", at positions 333 to 614 of the family's 1533-position model. The record is from RNAcentral.
GUGCACCUACGGGACGCAGCAGUGGGGAAUAUUGCGCAAUGGGCGAAAGCCUGACGCAGCGACGCCGCGUGAGGGAUGAAGGUCUUCGGAUCGUAAACCUCUGUCAGCAGGGAAGAACGGUCACUGUGCUAAUCAGCAGUGAAUUGACGGUACCUGCAAAGGAAGCACCGGCUAACUCCGUGCCAGCAGCCGCGGUAAUACGGAGGGUGCGAGCGUUAAUCGGAAUUACUGGGCGUAAAGCGCUCGUAGGCGGUAUGUCAAGUCAAGGGCGAAAUCCCCACGCUCAACG